RNAcentral lists this ribosomal RNA (459 nucleotides) under uncultured bacterium. Its description in RNAcentral is "bacterial SSU rRNA". It matches the Rfam family "Bacterial small subunit ribosomal RNA", at positions 29 to 524 of the family's 1533-position model. The record is from RNAcentral.
AGUGAACGUUGGCGGCGUGGAUUAGGCAUGCAAGUCGAGCGAUCGUAGCAAUACGGGAGCGGCAAACGGGGGUAGGAAUACAUCGGAACGUACCUUUUGGUUGAGAAUAGCGUUGGGAAACUGACGGUAAUACUCAAUAAAGUCGAGAGACCAAAGGUUUACUGCCGGAAGAGCGGCCGAUGCGAUAUUAGGUAGUUGGUGGGGUAAUGGCCUACCAAGCCUGAGAUGUCUAGGGGGUGUGAGAGCAUGGCCCCACCACUGGGACUGAGAUACUGCCCAGACACCUACGGGUGGCUGCAGUCGAGGAUCUUCGUCAAUGGGCGAAAGCCUGAACGAGCGACGCCGCGUGCGGGAUGAAGGCCCUUGGGUUGUAAACCGCUGUCAGGGGGGAUGAAACCGUAAGGUUGACAGAGCCCCAGAGGAAGCACGGGCUAAGUUCGUGCCAGCAGCCGCGGUAAU